AUCAACUUCCCCUACCUCUACAUCGUGGCUUCCAUGAUGCUCAACGUACGCCUGCAGGUUCAUAUUGAGAUCCACUGAAGGCCUUCCACUUACUGACAGGAGUGUCAUCAGGCUCAC
This 117-nucleotide long non-coding RNA is filed under the name Ursus maritimus (polar bear). Its description in RNAcentral is "lncRNA (ENSUMAG00000008774.1)". Lineage: Eukaryota; Metazoa; Chordata; Mammalia; Carnivora; Ursidae. The record is from RNAcentral.